RNAcentral lists this transfer RNA (73 nucleotides) under Phenylobacterium sp. RNAcentral describes it as "tRNA-Asp". It matches the Rfam family "tRNA". Rfam says of the family: Transfer RNA (tRNA) molecules are approximately 80 nucleotides in length. Their secondary structure includes four short double-helical elements and three loops (D, anti-codon, and T loops). Further hydrogen bonds mediate the characteristic L-shaped molecular structure. tRNAs have two regions of fundamental functional importance: the anti-codon, which is responsible for specific mRNA codon recognition, and the 3' end, to which the tRNAs corresponding amino acid is attached (by aminoacyl-tRNA synthetases). tRNAs cope with the degeneracy of the genetic code in two manners: having more than one tRNA (with a specific anti-codon) for a particular amino acid; and 'wobble' base-pairing, i.e. permitting non-standard base-pairing at the 3rd anti-codon position. Lineage: Bacteria; Pseudomonadati; Pseudomonadota; Alphaproteobacteria; Caulobacterales; Caulobacteraceae. The record is from RNAcentral.
UUCCCGGUAGCUCAGCUGGUAGAGCGGCGGACUGUCAAUUCGUAGGUCGCUGGUUCAAGCCCAGCCCGGGAAG